UCCUGGCAUCCAAGUGCACUGAGUACACCUCCGGUGGGCCUUUCGAUUGCCUCAAUGCCGCAGUCGAGCUUCAUGGCCAGGAGCGCUUCUUCCAGGACACACUGCCCUUCAUUAUUGAGUCCGCGGCCACG
RNAcentral lists this small RNA (131 nucleotides) under Eutreptiella gymnastica. Its description in RNAcentral is "partial Cyanobacteria transfer-messenger RNA". Lineage: Eukaryota; Euglenozoa; Euglenophyceae; Eutreptiales; Eutreptiaceae. The record is from RNAcentral.